Vicugna pacos (alpaca) is the source of this 227-nucleotide non-coding RNA. Lineage: Eukaryota; Metazoa; Chordata; Mammalia; Artiodactyla; Camelidae. The record is from RefSeq and is a predicted model, not a curated record.
UACUGGAAAAGGUACAACUACAGAAACAAUAAAAUGAUCGUGGUUUCCAUGGGAUUGGGGAGAGGUAUGGAGGGAGGAGUGAAUAGAUGGAGCCCAGGGGAUUUUUAGGGUAAUGAAGUUAUUCUGUAUGAUACUAUAGUGGUGUCUACAUGACAUUACGCAUUUGUCAAAACCCAUAGAAUGCACAACAUCAAAACUAAACCCCAAUAAAAAAAAAAGGGAACCCU